Long non-coding RNA from Equus caballus (horse), 1672 nucleotides. Lineage: Eukaryota; Metazoa; Chordata; Mammalia; Perissodactyla; Equidae. The record is from Ensembl.
UUUCACUCUUUCUACCCACCUUAAAUCCAGUUUUCUCUAAGCAUCUUUAUCUUGUUACCGCAGAAUGAUCUGUUUCUUUUUCAAACACCAGUUGUUCUAUUUCAUUUUGCAAAAUGCUUCGUCUUUAUUCUACACUCCCUCUUACCUUGCCUGUAUUGUAAAGUUCAUCUUGUUUUUAUAUUUGUCCUUUUUCCUAAUGAGCUAAUGAGAUCUGUGGCAGAGACCAUGAUUUUUGUUGUUGUUGUUCCCCAUUCCCACAUCCCUUGGGAGGGUGGGAGAAGUAUUCUUCUUUUUUGUCUUUGUUGAGGAAGAUUGGCCCUGAGCUAACAUCCAUGGCCAGUCCUCCUCUUUUUGCUCGAGGAAGAUUAUUGCUGAGCUGACAUCAGUGGCAGUCCUCCUCUAUUUUAUGUGGGAUGCCACCACAGUGUGGCUUGACGAGUGGUGCUGCGUCUGCGCUCCGGAUCUGAACCUGCGAACCCCAGGCCACUGAAGCCAGGCAGGCGAACUUAACAACUUGACCACCAGGCCAGCCCCAAAAGGGGCCAUGGUUUUUAAUGUUUUCCACAGUGCUUAGAAGCCCAAUUCUAUUCCUCACAGGCGAUCUCUGGAGAAACAGUCUUUCUAAACACUAGACACCUGGAGGAAGCAAGGCUGUUCAGGAACAUCUGGGCUUUGAUUCUGCCUUCUCUCCUUAGAUAAAGCUGUGGCCUUAUUGGCACUGGGUUUGUCUCAAGAACCAGCAGGAACCCAGAUGUUUUUAAUUUCUCCCCAUUAAAGGGCAUAGCUUGUUAGGGCUUGUUCUUCCCAAAGUGGUGAUGUAAGCCCUGAGCGUAACAGAGAAGUGGAACCAUCACAAUUGAGCUUGUCAGAUAUUGCAAGACCCUACGUUGUCCUCUUGCUGAUAUUGCAUGACUCUAGAGGCGAAUGGAAGCUGCUGAGAUAUACUGCAUCUGUUCCUGCCCUGAGUGACUGCCUCACUGCUGGUAAGAUUUUGGAUCCUUGGCUAAGUAAGUCAGGAACUAAAUGUAAACUCUGUGUGUGUGUGUGUGUUUUCUUCCUUCUAAUUCAUAGCUGAUAGCUAAUGUUUAUUUAGGGCUUACUAUGGACCAGUUCUAAUGUUCCACAUGUGUUAACUCUUAAUCCUCAUAACACCCAUGUGAAUUAGCCAUUUUAAGCAAAUAGCCAUUUUCAGAUAAGGAGAUUGAGGAAGAGAAGAUCAAGUAACUUUCUUUAAUAGUGCUAUUAAUACUAAAUGGAGGAAUGGGGUUUGAUCCCAGGAAGUUGUGAUUCAGAGUGAUUUUUUUUUUUGGUGAGGAAGAUUGGCCCUGAGCAAAUAUCUGUUGCCACUCUUCCUCUGUUUUUUGUGUGAGGAAGAUUGGCUCUGAGCUAACAUCUGUUGCCAAGCAUCCUCUUUUUGCUUGAGCAAGAUUGUCGCUGAACUAACAUGUUACCAGUCUUCCUCUAUUUUAUGUGGGAUGCUGCCGCAGCAUGGCUUGACAAGCGGUGCUAGGUCUGUGCCUGGCAUCUGAAUCUGUGAACCCCAGGCUGCUGAAGUGGAACGCACAAACUUCACCACUUUUUGACUGGGCCAGCCCCUGGAGCUUAUAUUUUUAAUUGCUGUACUAUACUAGUCUAUCUGAAAUGCUGCAAGCCAAUUUUAAUUAUUUCUUUG